RNAcentral lists this ribosomal RNA (451 nucleotides) under uncultured bacterium. RNAcentral's name for it is "partial 16S ribosomal RNA". It matches the Rfam family "Bacterial small subunit ribosomal RNA", at positions 29 to 523 of the family's 1533-position model. The record is from RNAcentral.
AGCGAACGCUGGCGGCAGGCUUAACACAUGCAAGUCGAGCGGCCGUAGCAAUACGGCAGCGGCAGACGGGAGAGUAACACGUGGGAACGUACCCUUCAGUACGGAACAACCAAGGGAAACUUUGGCUAAUACCGUAUACGUCCGUAAGGAGAAAGAUUUAUCGCUGAAGGAUCGGCCCGCGUCUGAUUAGCUAGUUGGUGAGGUAACGGCUCACCAAGGCGACGAUCAGUAGCUGGUCUGAGAGGAUGAUCAGCCUCACUGGGACUGAGACACGGCCCAGACUCCUACGGGAGGCAGCAGUGGGGAAUAUUGGACAAUGGGCGCAAGCCUGAUCCAGCCAUGCCGCGUGGAUGAUGAAGACCCUAGGGUUGUAAAGUCCUUUUAACGGGGAAGAUAAUGACGGUACCCGUAGAAUAAGCCCCGGCUAACUUCGUGCCAGCAGCCGCCGUAA